Long non-coding RNA from Photinus pyralis (common eastern firefly), 447 nucleotides. RefSeq lists it as uncharacterized. The transcript is spliced from 3 exons. The record is from RefSeq and is a predicted model, not a curated record. Lineage: Eukaryota; Metazoa; Arthropoda; Insecta; Coleoptera; Lampyridae.
AACAUUUACUGGCUUUCCAUGCAGUUACUGGGUGUGAUACCACAUCAAAGUUGGCAUCAGUAACUAAAACUGGCGCAUGGAAACAUUACACAGAAGAAAAUUCAGCACUCCUUAGUGGACUUGGAGCUACCUCUGACCUGGCCAGCGAUGUACUCGACAAUAUCGAGCAAUUCGUGGUGCAAGCUUUGUACAAGGUUGGGCCAGACAUUACAAUGUCAAAUGCAGCGCGCGUUUCUCUUUUUGGAGCUGUAAAGGUGCUGGAAUUCUUGCCGCCUACCAGUGACGCACUGCGCUUGCAUAUCCUUCGGUGCCACUAUCAGGUUUUUGUGUGGAAAAACUCCCACGUGGCCUUCCCCGAACUACCUGACCCUAAAAAUUGUGGGUGGAAGGUGGAAGGCGGGCGAUAUGUGCCUAUUCUCAUGACUCUGCCAUCUAUCCCAAAGUCAU